GAACAGGUGCUCGAGCGGCUGAAGGCACCGGUUUUCCAGACCGACGUACCUCUUACAGCGGUACCGCGGGUUCGAAUCCCGCCCUGUCCG
RNAcentral lists this transfer RNA (90 nucleotides) under Actinomycetales bacterium. RNAcentral describes it as "tRNA-Gly". It matches the Rfam family "tRNA". From Rfam's summary of the family: Transfer RNA (tRNA) molecules are approximately 80 nucleotides in length. Their secondary structure includes four short double-helical elements and three loops (D, anti-codon, and T loops). RNAcentral also lists the same sequence under 2 other names. Lineage: Bacteria; Bacillati; Actinomycetota; Actinomycetes; Actinomycetales. The record is from RNAcentral.